Molecule: ribosomal RNA, 303 nt
Filed under: uncultured bacterium
Lineage: Bacteria
Description: partial 16S ribosomal RNA
Rfam family: Bacterial small subunit ribosomal RNA
Source: RNAcentral
AGCAGUAGCCGCGGUAAUACGUAGGUGGCAAGCGUUGUCCGGAAUUAUUGGGCAUAAAGGGCUCGCAGGCGGUUUCUUAAGUCUGAUGUGAAAGCCCCCGGCUCAACCGGGGAGGGUCAUUGGAAACUGGGAAACUUGAGUGCAGAAGAGGAGAGUGGAAUUCCACGUGUAGCGGUGAAAUGCGUAGAGAUGUGGAGGAACACCAGUGGCGAAGGCGACUCUCUGGUCUGUAACUGACGCUGAGGAGCGAAAGCGUGGGGAGCGAACAGGAUUAGAUACCCCCGUAGUCCCUGUCUCUUAUAC